Molecule: long non-coding RNA, 662 nt
Organism: Agrilus planipennis (emerald ash borer)
Lineage: Eukaryota; Metazoa; Arthropoda; Insecta; Coleoptera; Buprestidae
Exons: 4
Source: RefSeq, a predicted model, not a curated record
GAAUUUAUUAAAACUGACAAUUUUAAAAAAUUAGUCUGUGAAAGAAACACUAAAAAAUUUAUACGUACUUAUUUGCUAUUUCACAGUUCAAAAAAUGCUUUUAUCUGCAGAAUUUUAAAUAUUUCGCGCCAGUCUAGAAAGUUGCCACGACAUGUCAAUACCACGCUCCCUUGCGUCAACUUCGAUAACGUUCAAAUAAUCUCCUUACAGCUGCACUUUUGUGAUUACUAAUAUCAGAGACUAAUAUAUAAUGUCUCGUUUUAUCGUGAUAAUUAGUUACAGUAGAUGCAUUUAAAUUUUAUCAAAGUAUUUUUUAAACCGGCAUAUGCAACAACCAACGUCUAUUUAGCAAAAGAAAAUACCUACAGGUGAGAAUACACUUUUUCUUGCCUUUGCCAAGCGAAUUUUUCUUCAGCAGUUCAGUCUACAGGGACAGUGUAUUUCCUUCCUAAAGCUUAAAAGGCCUUGUUGUCCAUAGGCAUUACAAUACCAUCAAGGGACUUAAAAAUGACCUAUGUCACAAUGUAAUAAUAUUAAUGGUAUGAAGAGCUUUUAUAAAUGUAUCAUUCCUUCCGCACUAAUACAAAACCUUGGAAUAAGUUUGGCUUCAAAGAAAAGUUAUGAAAGUGACUUCUUCCCCUGGAAAUAAGAAUAAUGAUCAC